GGAGGGGUGGCCGAGUGGUUAAUGGCAACGGUCUGUAAAACCGUCGCCCGGAAGGGCUACGCAGGUUCGAAUCCUGCCCCCUCCACCG
This 88-nucleotide transfer RNA is filed under the name Chloroflexota bacterium. RNAcentral's name for it is "Chloroflexi bacterium (sediment metagenome) tRNA-Tyr". It matches the Rfam family "tRNA". From Rfam's summary of the family: Transfer RNA (tRNA) molecules are approximately 80 nucleotides in length. Their secondary structure includes four short double-helical elements and three loops (D, anti-codon, and T loops). Lineage: Bacteria; Bacillati; Chloroflexota. The record is from RNAcentral.